RNAcentral lists this unclassified non-coding RNA (366 nucleotides) under Hevea brasiliensis (rubber tree). The record is from RNAcentral. Lineage: Eukaryota; Viridiplantae; Streptophyta; Magnoliopsida; Malpighiales; Euphorbiaceae.
GCACAAAGAAUUGGUGGUAUCUUUGAAGGUUUAAUAGCAGUGGAUGAUGUAGGGGAGAUACAAGGGGAUUGACCAUCCUUCUUUCGCAUCAAAGUCUGGGUAAAUGUCACAAAACCACUGCUAAAGGGUUUCUUCCAUUCCAAAGAGGAGAAUAAAAGGGUGUCGAUCCAAUUUAAAUACAAAAAAUUACCAACCUUUUGUUUCCAAUGUGGGAGAAUUGGCUACAUACUUAGAGUUUGCCCAGAAAGGAGAGAACGGGAUACAGAAGAAGGGGAACAACCAAGGCAAUUGAAGUUUGGACCUUGGCUCAUUGCAAAAAUCCAGCAACCCUCCUCCAUAAUUCAGGCAACGUCAAAGGGGUUACCU